CUCAGAGAAACGGUGGGUACUAUGGAAACCAGCUCUUCAGUCCCAGUGAGACAGGCUUACCCCAGGCAGAUCUGACAGAAGACAAGUCAGUUCACACAUAGUCCAGGAGAUGUCUAUGCUGAAAACAGAGAAAGAAGCUGAUGCCCACAAAUUUGCUGUUGGGAGUGGAUGUUGCCGAGUCUGUGCUUCCGGGAGACCUUGGCCUGCGCUGUUCUGGGUUAUGUGAGGAACACAAAUGACAAGGAAAUGAGCUGCUACUGGAGAUUUAUUUAAAUAAACACAAGGCAAUGUCAGGACAGUGUGGAGACAGAGUAAUCUAGUGAACCCUCUUCACUGAUCGUACUGAACAACAGCCAUGGAUGCUCAUGAAGACCUGAGGGGCCUGGGACUCAGGAGUGCCUUCUUAAUCACCUAAAACGUUACGUGCAGUCAUUUUCAUGUUAAAUGUAAGUUAUAGCCUGUCCUCAAAAUUUGGUGGCUCAGAGUGUUCUCACACACAUCAGAAUUCACGGGGAGUCAGCUCUGCCUUCGGGAAGAGAAUAUUGGACUUGUGGUCGCAGGACUGAGGCCUGCUGUGCUCCUGGAGCCCUCUGCCCACUCUAGGGCCAGGCAGAGGGUCUGCAGGCACUGCCAGGCAUUGCAGCACCUACCACUACAUUUGGGAGCACUGGGUACUAACACUAAGGAUGACUAUGCUGCGUGAAUGGGGGAUAUUUAGGGUCAUUACAUGUAACCAGAUGUUAGCUUAAAUUCACCCAGACAUAGCCUGAGGCAAAGAUUAGAGUGCACAGUUUAUUUGGGAGGUGAUUCUAGAAAAGAUUGUUAGGGGAUGGGGGGUUGGGGAAGUGAGCAGGCGAUGGAAAAGACAAUAAGCGAGUCAAACAUGGAUUUUCAACUUUGUCAGGGGGGUUGGCACCCCUAACCUCUGAUUGUUCAAGUGCCAGAUGUAUAAUAAAUAUCACC
Molecule: long non-coding RNA, 963 nt
Organism: Manis javanica (Malayan pangolin)
Lineage: Eukaryota; Metazoa; Chordata; Mammalia; Pholidota; Manidae
Source: RefSeq, a predicted model, not a curated record